CCUACGGGUGACUGCAGUGGGGAAUAUUGGGCAAUGGGCGCAAGCCUGACCCAGCAACGCCGCGUGAAGGAAGAAGGCUUUCGGGUUGUAAACUUCUUUUCUGAGGGACGAAGAAAGUGACGGUACCUCAGGAAUAAGCCACGGCUAACUACGUGCCAGCAGCCGCGGUAAUACGUAGGUGACAAGCGUUAUCCGGAUUUAUUGGGUGUAAAGGGCGUGUAGGCGGGAAAGCAAGUCAGAUGUGAAAACUCAGGGCUCAACCCUGAGCCUGCAUUUGAAACUGUUUUUCUUGAGUGCUGGAGAGGCAAUCGGAAUUCCGUGUGUAGCGGUGAAAUGCGUAGAUAUACGGAGGAACACCAGUGGCGAAGGCAUCUCACGAAUCCGCGAUUGACGCUGAUGCACGAAAGCGUGGGUAUCAAACAGGAUUAGAUACCCCGGUAGUC
This 443-nucleotide ribosomal RNA is filed under the name uncultured bacterium. RNAcentral describes it as "partial 16S ribosomal RNA". It matches the Rfam family "Bacterial small subunit ribosomal RNA", at positions 338 to 795 of the family's 1533-position model. The record is from RNAcentral.